GCUCAGAAGGCUGCCUAGACACAAACCAUGCAUGCACAGCCAGCAUAAUUGAAAGCAGCUGCCCAGGCUCAGCUGCUCACGAAGCCCAGCUACACAAGGGACUUGCUGAAAUUUCAAUGAAGGUUAGCGGACAAAGGCAGGCUUCAGUACAGUAGGAAGGAACUGAGAUGAUUAGAGGGUGAGUCAACCAAGGUGCUCACGAAGAAAUGCCUGGGGAUCUCUACAUGAUACACUCUACUCAGCCAAGCUUCCUGUCUGCAAGAGAGUUCCACCUUUCCUUCAUGCACUAAUGCCAUCAUGGAACUGAAUUCUAAUGGGACAGUUUGACUAUGGAGGCCAAGAACCUCAAAACACCUGAAGCAGACCCUGACCACCAGUAAUAUACAACGCAAGGACAGUAAAAAUGGAGCCAAAGACCUGUUAAAGUGGCAUUGUAACAUAGAAGCAGACCCUCUGGAAAAAAGGAAAGUCUUUACAUCCAUCCUCUCACAGCCUGCCCAUUACACAGUUUAACGUGAAGACAUGACAGACAUGGAGAGAUCUCUGCCUUGAUGGGCUUCAUUGAUGGAUUUUCCUUCCUCUGAUCUUUAUUCAAUGACUGCAUGUCUUCCAUUAGAGAAACUGAAAUGAAUAACUCAUUUACAUUAAGUUAUUUGAAUCCAUUGUCUUAUUCAUUCUAAUGCUAUUUUUUUCAUUACCAAGGAGAAAUGCUUAAAAUAAAGAACUCUCCCCUCGGGGCAGGAUUUUAAACAUGGCAAAUGGGUGAACUACCGAAGAGCAUACGUACCCUCCAUCACUGCCAGGAGACACUGAGGGUCAUCAAGCUUUCAGAGACACUGAGAAGACAAUGUCAUUUUGUCAGGAAGAUCAGUCACGGAUGGCACUUGUCCUCUUCCAUCUGGAAACUUCUUUGUGAAGUAAAGUGUUGCAGCAGCCUGCGCUCUCAGCUCCCGGAUCCUGUAAGGCAAAGACAGAAUGGGGCAUCCAGUCUGCCCGGAGGAAGCGUCUUCCAAACAGUUUACAAUGAGGAAAUUGGCGUAUAAGAAUUUCGCUACCUCCCACGCUUUCGCUUGUUUACUUGGUUCUGGAGAACUUCUCUAGUCAUCCUUUGGCCAGCCUGCACUGUGGCUUCCCAGAAGAACACAGGCAGAGCUGUCAGUUAAUCAAAAAUAAAUAGAUAAACAAA
Molecule: long non-coding RNA, 1186 nt
Organism: Mesocricetus auratus (golden hamster)
Lineage: Eukaryota; Metazoa; Chordata; Mammalia; Rodentia; Cricetidae
Exons: 6
Source: RefSeq, a predicted model, not a curated record